GAUCCUGGCUCAGGAUGAACGCUGGUGGCGUGCUUAACACAUGCAAGUCGAACGAAGCACUUUAUUUGAUUUCCUUCGGGACUGAUUAUUUUGUUGACUGAGUGGCGGACGGGUGAGUAACGCGUGGGUAACCUGCCUUGUACAGGGGAUAACAGUUGGAAACGGCUGCUAAUACCGCAUAAGCGCACAGCAUCGCAUGAUGCAGUGUGAAAAACUCCGGUGGUAUAAGAUGGACCCG
This 238-nucleotide ribosomal RNA is filed under the name uncultured bacterium. RNAcentral describes it as "partial 16S ribosomal RNA". It matches the Rfam family "Bacterial small subunit ribosomal RNA", at positions 15 to 233 of the family's 1533-position model. The record is from RNAcentral.